CGGAAAGUGCGGCGUGCUAUACAUGCAAGUCGAGCGGAUUGAUGGGAGCUUGCUCCCUGAUAUCAGCGGCGGACGGGUGAGUAACACGUGGGUAACCUGCCUGUAAGACUGGGAUAACUCCGGGAAACCGGGGCUAAUACCGGAUAACUCAUUUCCUCGCAUGAGGAAAUGUUGAAAGGUGGCUUUUACCUACCACUUACAGAUGGACCCGCGGCGCAUUACCUAGUUGGUGAGGUAACGGCUCACCAAGGCAACGAUGCGUACCCAACCUGAGAGGGUGAUCGGCCACACUGGGACUGAAACACGGCCCAAACUCCUACGGGAGGCAGCAGUAGGGAAUCUUCCGCAAUGGACGAAAGUCUGACGGAGCAACGCCGCGUGAGUGAUGAAGGUUUUCGGAUCGUAAAGCUCUGUUGUUAGGGAAGAACAAGUGCCGUUCGAAUAGGGCGGCACCUUGACGGUACCUAACCAGAAAGCCACGGCUAACUACGUGCCAGCAGCCGCGGUAAUACGUAGGUGGCAAGCGUUGUCCGGAAUUAUUGGGCGUAAAGCGCGCGCAGGUGGUUCCUUAAGUCUGAUGUGAAAGCCCACGGCUCAACCGUGGAGGGUCAUUGGAAACUGGGGAACUUGAGUGCAGAAAAGGAAAGUGGAAUUCCAAGUGUACCGGUGAAAUGCGUAAAUAUUUGGAGGAACACCAGUGGCGAAGGCGACUUUCUGGUCUGUAACUGACACUGAGGCGCGAAAGCGUGG
Molecule: ribosomal RNA, 750 nt
Filed under: bacterium
Lineage: Bacteria
Description: bacterial SSU rRNA
Rfam family: Bacterial small subunit ribosomal RNA
Source: RNAcentral